Long non-coding RNA from Cimex lectularius (bed bug), 723 nucleotides. RefSeq lists it as uncharacterized. The transcript is spliced from 3 exons. The record is from RefSeq and is a predicted model, not a curated record. NCBI's taxonomy places the organism in Eukaryota, Metazoa, Arthropoda, Insecta, Hemiptera, Cimicidae.
GUCUCUUCUAACAGGUACUACUACACUUUGCUAUUACUUGCACAUUUUCAUUUGGACGGUGUCUGCUCCGAUUCCGAAUUUCAUCCGCACUUUUAUCACGCCGUGGCCGGCCAAGGCCCGAUCCGACUCCAUGCACAUUUUACCAUUUGGUUUAAAUUGUAUUUCUAAUAAUUGGAAAUGAAAGAAAGGGAGUAAAAACGAUCGAUUGGAUAUUGGCGUAGCUUAUCACGUCCUGUUAUCAAAUCUGUACGCCUUCGUCUUUCGUUCUUUUUUCGACUUUACUGGGUUGACAGCUGGAACGGUGGCGCUAAGCCUCAUCUGCAGAUGAGAGGUCCAUUUUCCAAUAAACGGAUUUGUUAAACAGUUUAGAUGACGUCUUGACCUCAACUGCUGACUUCUGGACGGAUGUGUUAAAUACAGAUGAGCAGGCUUUGGCCAAAAUAUCAAACUGGAUGAGAUGCAACCUAUUAACUUUGAAAAGAAAUAAAUGCUCAUUCAUGCCCGUAUCCAUUAGCCAAGAGUCGACAACAUAAAACUUCUCAAACACUACAUCAGUGUGAGGAACAACUGCAUUGUUGCCAACCAAUUAAAACAGUAGGUUAAAUAUCUUGAGACAGACAAUCACAUGAAAUGAAAUAAACAUAUUAAAUAUAAAUGAGAAAAUGUAAGGACAUGUAUGUAUAUUAUAAACAAAAUAUAAGGAUUCCAAAUUAAAACUAAAAA